This 406-nucleotide ribosomal RNA is filed under the name uncultured bacterium. RNAcentral's name for it is "bacterial SSU rRNA". It matches the Rfam family "Bacterial small subunit ribosomal RNA", at positions 354 to 777 of the family's 1533-position model. The record is from RNAcentral.
GUGGGGGAUAUUGGACAAUGGGGGAAACCCUGAUCCAGCGAUGCCGCGUGAGGGAAGAAGGUUUUCGGAUUGUAAACCUCUGUCUUAAGGGACGAUAAUGACGGUACCUUAGGAGGAAGCUCCGGCUAACUACGUGCCAGCAGCCGCGGUAAUACGUAGGGAGCGAGCGUUGUCCGGAAUUACUGGGUGUAAAGGGAGUGUAGGCGGGAAUGCAAGUCAGAAGUGAAAACUAUGGGCUUAACCCAUAGCCUGCUUUUGAAACUGUAUUUCUUGAGUGAAGCAGAGGCAAGCGGAAUUCCAAGUGUAGCGGUGAAAUGCGUAGAUAUUUGGAGGAACACCAGUGGCGAAGGCGGCUUGCUGGGCUUUUACUGACGCUGAGGCUCGAAAGCGUGGGGAGCAAACAGGA